UACGGAGUGUGCGAGCGUUACUCGGAAUCACUGGGCAUAAAGAGCACGUAGGCGGGGAUGCAUGUCCGUGGUGAAAUCCCCCAGCUCAACUGGGGAACUGCUUCGGAAACUGUGUCUCUUGAGGACGAGAGGGGAGAGUGGAACUUCUGGUGGAGCGGUGAAAUGCGUAGAUAUCAGAAGGAACACCGGUGGCGAAAGCGACUCUCUGGCUCGUUUCUGACGCUGAGGUGCGAAAGCUUGGGUAGCAAACAGGAUUAGAUACCCUGGUAGUCCAAGCCGUAAACGAUGGGCACUAGGCAGGGGGAGUUCCGAUGCUCUCCCUGCUGGAGCUAAUGUGUUAAGUGCCCCGCCUGGGAAGUACAGUCGCAAGGCCGAA
RNAcentral lists this ribosomal RNA (376 nucleotides) under uncultured bacterium. Its description in RNAcentral is "bacterial SSU rRNA". It matches the Rfam family "Bacterial small subunit ribosomal RNA", at positions 524 to 898 of the family's 1533-position model. The record is from RNAcentral.